AGGGAAUUGGUGAAAUGGUAUCACACCGGAAUUUGACUCCGUCAUUUCUAGUUCGAAUCUAGGAUUCCCUGCCA
Molecule: transfer RNA, 74 nt
Filed under: Bacilli bacterium
Lineage: Bacteria; Bacillati; Bacillota; Bacilli
Description: tRNA-Gln
Rfam family: tRNA
About the family: Transfer RNA (tRNA) molecules are approximately 80 nucleotides in length. Their secondary structure includes four short double-helical elements and three loops (D, anti-codon, and T loops).
Source: RNAcentral